AUUGAACGCUGGCGGCAGGCUUAACACAUGCAAGUCGAGCGGGGUGAUGGUGCUUGCACUAUCACUUAGCGGCGGACGGGUGAGUAAUGCUUAGGAAUCUGCCUAUUAGUGGGGGACAACAUCUCGAAAGGGAUGCUAAUACCGCAUACGUCCUACGGGAGAAAGCAGGGGAUCACUUGUGACCUUGCGCUAAUAGAUGAGCCUAAGUCGGAUUAGCUAGUUGGUGGGGUAAAGGCCUACCAAGGCGACGAUCUGUAGCGGGUCUGAGAGGAUGAUCCGCCACACUGGGACUGAGACGCGGCCCAGACUCCUACGGGAGGCAGCAGUGGGGAAUAUUGGACAAUGGGGGGAACCCUGAUCCAGCCAUGCCGCGUGUGUGAAGAAGGCCUUAUGGUUGUAAAGCACUUUAAGCGAGGAGGAGGCUCUUUUGGUUAAUACCCAAGAUGAGUGGACGUUACUCGCAGAAUAAGCACCGGCUAACUCUGUGCCAGCCGCCGCCGCCG
RNAcentral lists this ribosomal RNA (503 nucleotides) under uncultured bacterium. RNAcentral describes it as "partial 16S ribosomal RNA". It matches the Rfam family "Bacterial small subunit ribosomal RNA", at positions 30 to 523 of the family's 1533-position model. The record is from RNAcentral.